GCCAAGGGGUGCCAGUCGUUUGGCUGGCUGAGAUCAUACCCUCUGACCUGAACAGGAUAAUGCCUGCGUAGGAAAAA
RNAcentral lists this non-coding RNA (77 nucleotides) under uncultured Prevotella sp. Lineage: Bacteria; Pseudomonadati; Bacteroidota; Bacteroidia; Bacteroidales; Prevotellaceae. The record is from RNAcentral.